Long non-coding RNA from Stegastes partitus (bicolor damselfish), 111 nucleotides. RefSeq lists it as uncharacterized. NCBI's taxonomy places the organism in Eukaryota, Metazoa, Chordata, Actinopteri, Pomacentridae. The record is from RefSeq and is a predicted model, not a curated record. The transcript has 3 exons.
AAAGUACAGACAAAUCAACAGUUACGAGUCGAGCGGCUUCACCAUUGGUUGUCUUUUCACACAUGACUUUUGCUAAACUUCUGCCGUGAGAGAAUCUGAAACCGAAGAGUA